AGUUUAACUGGGGCGGUUGCCUCCUAAAUGGUAACGGAGGCGCCCAAAGGUUUCCUCAGUCUGGUUGGCAAUCAGAUGGUGAGUGUAAGUGUAUAAGGGAGCUUGACUGUGACACUGACGGGUGGAGCAGGUGCGAAAGCAGGGACUAGUGAUCCGGCAUCUACGUGUGGUUGUGGUGUCGCUCAACGGAUAAAAGGUACCCCGGA
This 206-nucleotide ribosomal RNA is filed under the name Chaetoceros curvisetus. Its description in RNAcentral is "partial Bacterial large subunit ribosomal RNA". It matches the Rfam family "Bacterial large subunit ribosomal RNA", at positions 2267 to 2471 of the family's 2925-position model. The record is from RNAcentral. Lineage: Eukaryota; Bacillariophyta; Thalassiosirophyceae; Chaetocerotales; Chaetocerotaceae.